RNAcentral lists this transfer RNA (72 nucleotides) under Otolemur garnettii (small-eared galago). It matches the Rfam family "tRNA". Rfam says of the family: Transfer RNA (tRNA) molecules are approximately 80 nucleotides in length. The record is from Rfam by way of RNAcentral. Lineage: Eukaryota; Metazoa; Chordata; Mammalia; Primates; Galagidae.
GUCCCUGGUGCAAUUGGUUAAUGCAUUUGGUUGUUAACCAAAAGGUUGGUGGUUUAAGCCCACCCAGGGACA